Molecule: ribosomal RNA, 490 nt
Filed under: uncultured bacterium
Lineage: Bacteria
Description: bacterial SSU rRNA
Rfam family: Bacterial small subunit ribosomal RNA
Source: RNAcentral
GAUGAACGCUAGCUACAGGCUUAACACAUGCAAGUCGAGGGGCAGCAGGGAUUUAGCUUGCUAAAUUCGCUGGCGACCGGCGCACGGGUGCGUAACGCGUAUCCAACUUUCCCGUUACUCUCGGAUAGCCUUCCGAAAGGGAGAUUAAUACGAGAUGGUGUUCUAAUUUCGCAUGUUAUUAGAACUAAAGAUUUAUCGGUAACGGAUAGGGAUGCGUGACAUUAGAUAGUUGGCGGGGUAACGGCCCACCAAGUCUACGAUGUCUAGGGGUUCUGAGAGGAAGGUCCCCCCACACUGGAACCGAGACACGGUCCAGACUCCUACGGGAGGCAGCAGUGAGGAAUAUUGGUCAAUGGUCGGAAGACUGAACCAGCCAAGUAGCGUGAAGGAUGAAGGUUCUAUGGAUUGUAAACUUCUUUAUACGGGAAUAAAACCUCCCACGUGUGGGAGCUUGUAUGUACCGUAUGAAUAAGCAUCGGCUAACUCCGUG